Non-coding RNA from Myodes glareolus (Bank vole), 1010 nucleotides. NCBI's taxonomy places the organism in Eukaryota, Metazoa, Chordata, Mammalia, Rodentia, Cricetidae. The record is from RefSeq and is a predicted model, not a curated record.
UAUAUCAGGCUGAAACAUGAAUGAUGUCCCAGCUAGCACUGUGGAAAUAACAGCUGAGUGGGAUGUGGUUGGGACACAAACAGAGGGAGAAUCAGGUUUCUGAGUCAUGAAGUGCAGGAUUCAGAACCCUCGGAUGGUAUGAACCGGGGAAGAGGGGAGAAUCUUUCAUUUGCAAGCCUGUGAACUUUGAUAUCUUAGGGUCUGUGUUCUGGACUGGGCAUAGACGGUAGAGCAAUGCCAGCUGGGCCUGAACUUACUGCUCACCAGUUUACUCGCUAGCAGCAGCCUUACACCAUGGCGCACUGACUGGCAAUGGGAAGUUGGCCAUCAGUGGCCUGUGGGACCAGGUGGACAAUGAGAAAGUUGGUGCUGAGUCACAGGAGAAGAUCGUAUCAAACAGUACAACAAGGACAAAUGGGAGCUGGGUGGGUGAAGAGAGAGCAGAAUGUCUGGCAAGAACUAAUUUUUCUCUAUCCUUUGGGCUGUUUUCAUCUCUUUAGGCUACUGCUUCUCUUCCCUGGGGGUCUAUCUGAAGAUUCUUUGAACACAUUGCAGACAUUUCCUCCCAUGCUGCCAUUGCGAGUAACCCCAAGGUGAAGCCUCUUGGCAAGAAGGUGCUAGAAUCCUUCAGUGAAGCCCUGAAACACCGGAACAAUCUGAACAACAGGUUUGGGGACAAUCUGAACAACAGGUUUUCCAUCCUGAGUGAUUUGCAGUCACAAGCUUCGUGUAGAUCCUCACAACUUCAGGAACUCCUGGGUAGCAUAGUGAUCGCCUGUACCUACACUUUGGCAAGGAAAUCAUCCCAGCAGUACAGGCUGUUUUCCAGAUGACAUCAUCCCAGCUGUACAGGCCGUUUUCCAGAUAACAGUGGCUCACAAAUACCACUGAGGCCAUGGCCUGUUUCCUCAAGAUCACUGGAAGACUAUUAGAAAAUUAUCUUCUACACAUGGGGAGACAUGCCCGCCUUUAAGAUAGCUUCUGCCUAAUAAAAAAUUCGCUAAAUUUCA